This 219-nucleotide ribosomal RNA is filed under the name Amanita huijsmanii. RNAcentral describes it as "partial large subunit ribosomal RNA". It matches the Rfam family "Eukaryotic large subunit ribosomal RNA", at positions 206 to 419 of the family's 3401-position model. Lineage: Eukaryota; Fungi; Basidiomycota; Agaricomycetes; Agaricales; Amanitaceae. The record is from RNAcentral.
CAGAGGGUGAGAAUCCCGUCUUUGACAUGGACUGCCAGUGCAUUGUGGUUGUGCUCUCAACGAGUCGAGUUGUUUGGGAAUGCAGCUCUAAAUGGGUGGUAAAUUCCAUCUAAAGCUAAAUAUUGGCGAGAGACCGAUAGCGAACAAGUACCGUGAGGGAAAGAUGAAAAGAACUUUGGAAAGAGAGUUAAACAGUAUGUGAAAUUGUUGAAAGGGAAA